Molecule: ribosomal RNA, 701 nt
Filed under: Fredericella sp. 4 HH-2013
Lineage: Eukaryota; Metazoa; Bryozoa; Phylactolaemata; Fredericellidae
Description: partial 16S ribosomal RNA
Source: RNAcentral
ACACACAACACUUGCCCCAGGAGUAAAGAUCGAUUCAAAUAAUCAUAGAUUAUAGGUAGUAAUGGAGAUAGAACCUUAAAAAGGAGCUAUAGAAAAGAAGUAUCGUAAGAGAAGGUCCCACAUAGAAAUAAGAAGAGACCAAACCUCGUCCUUUGUGUAUCAUGGCUUAGCAACCUACCCCUUUAGAUUAACCUUCCCGAAGCCCAAUGAGCUACUAAACCCUAGUUUAGAACCCAUCAGUCCUUGUGGAAGAAAGGUUGAGAGAGGUCUUAGUAGAGACAAUAUAUCUGUCGCAUUGGGAAAUAGCUGGUUCCCAGAGAAAUAUAUCGAAGUAUAAGAGGGUUAACACCCCUCUUCCUACCUAGGGGACAACCUCUAGGUAGAACCCACUUUGUAGCAUACAACCUUAAUCAUGAUCUGGGCUUAAAAUCAGCCUUGAUGGUAAAACAAGUUACAUUGUAAUGAGAAACGGAGGUAUAAUUAUACAUCUACAAUUCCAGAGUAUCUGGGGAUUCUGAUCAACACACAUCAGAAGACAUUCUGCUAAGACGAGUAUAGUCACCCCCAAAUAAAAUAAGGAAGUGACUUAACAGAUAAAGGUAAGGAAUUCGGCAAAUAAAAGCUCUGACUGUUUAUCAAAAACAUAGCCUUCGAACUUACGAAAGGUAAAACCUGCCCGGGGUAAGUCUAACGGCUGCGGU